AACGAACGCUGGCGGCGCGCUUAACACAUGCAAGUCGAGCGGUAAGGCCCUUUCGGGGGUACACGAGCGGCGAACGGGUGAGUAACACGUGGGUGACCUGCCCUCAGCUCUGGGAUAAGCCUGGGAAACCGGGUCUAAUACCGGAUAUGACUCCAUGACGCAUGUUGUGGGGUGGAAAGCCUUGUGCGGCUGAGGAUGGGCCCGCGGCCUAUCAGCUUGUUGGUGGGGUGAUGGCCUACCAAGGCGACGACGGGUAGCCGGCCUGAGAGGGCGACCGGCCACACUGGGACUGAGACACGGCCCAGACUCCUACGGGAGGCAGCAGUGGGGAAUCUUGCGCAAUGGGCGAAAGCCUGACGCAGCGACGCCGCGUGAGGGAUGACGGCCUGGU
This 391-nucleotide ribosomal RNA is filed under the name uncultured bacterium. RNAcentral's name for it is "bacterial SSU rRNA". It matches the Rfam family "Bacterial small subunit ribosomal RNA", at positions 28 to 420 of the family's 1533-position model. The record is from RNAcentral.